Molecule: transfer-messenger RNA, 390 nt
Filed under: Achromobacter xylosoxidans
Lineage: Bacteria; Pseudomonadati; Pseudomonadota; Betaproteobacteria; Burkholderiales; Alcaligenaceae
Description: Standard tmRNA
Rfam family: transfer-messenger RNA
About the family: Bacterial tmRNA, also known as 10Sa RNA or SsrA, is named for its dual tRNA and mRNA-like properties. Its role is to liberate the mRNA from a stalled ribosome.
Source: RNAcentral
GGGGCCGAUCCGGAUUCGACGUGGGUCGCGAAACAACUCAGGGCAUGCCGAGCACCAGUACGCUCGUUAAACCACUGGAACACUACAAACGCCAACGACGAGCGUUUCGCUCUCGCCGCUUAAGCGGUGAGCCGCUGCACUGAUCUGUCCUUGGGUCAGGCGGAGGAAGGCAACUUCCCAGGGGGGGCAACCCUCGAACCGCAGCAGCGACAUUCACAAGGAAUCGGUUUGAACUGGGGUCACACGGUUCAAAUUUAAAUUACGUGAAUCGCUCUGGUCCGGCCUGUCGGUUGGCUAAGUCCAGGGUUAAAACCAAAUAGAUCGACUACGCAUGUAGAACUGGUUGCGGAGGGCUUGCGGACGGGGGUUCAAUUCCCCCCGGCUCCACCA